CGCAUAAUACAUCACCAAAGCCAAAAAAAUAAAAAACCCUAGUUCCAAAUGCCAACCUGCAUGAAUCCAUCUUCAGUAGCACAUCCCCUGAACAUCCCAUUGGUGUUAUACCUACAAGCCACAUCCCCAUUUCUAGACACCGCUAUUAACCCCGCUUUCCCUUCAUCAAGCCUCUCAUUUAUCACAAAAUCCGCAGCCUGUUGCAACCCCAACCCUUUGUACUCCAUCACAGCCGCCCGCUACGUCUCGGGCUAGGGUCCCGCGGAUGAUGGCUUCACCUUCCCCUGUGCAUGAAAUUCCGCAGAGGUCACACGCGUAGGUCCCAGCGCCAAUCAGGGGCGAGUCACCUAUACGACCGGUCAUUUUGUUCAUUAGCCCACCUGUUGACGUGGCGGCAGCACAUCGACCCUCGCUGUCCACGGCCACACAACCAACGGUUUCCGGUGCAUACACGCUGAUUGGAAGACCGUUCAUUUGCAAGGGAUUGUCCAUGGCCGCAGCAGCACCGGCGCUGCAUGUCUCCAAGGGGAUCCUGUAAUCAAACAGAAUGGAAUUGGCUUCCUUUGCCAAUUUCAACAUCCCCACGUUAUCCUCGGUGAUGAAGUAGUCAUUUUGCAUCAGCUCCACACCCUGUUGUCUGGCAAAUUCCUC
Molecule: unclassified non-coding RNA, 651 nt
Filed under: Hevea brasiliensis (rubber tree)
Lineage: Eukaryota; Viridiplantae; Streptophyta; Magnoliopsida; Malpighiales; Euphorbiaceae
Source: RNAcentral